AUGUCUGGGAAACUGCCUGAUGGAGGGGGAGUAACUACUGGAAACGGUAGCUAAUACCGCAUAACGUCGCAAGACCAAAGAGGGGGGACCUUCGGGCCUCUUGCCAUCGGAUGUGCCCAGAUGGGAUUAGCUAGUAGGUGGGGUAACGGCUCACCUAGGCGACGAUCCCUAGCUGGUCUGAGAGGAUGGCCAGCCACACUGGAACUGAGACACGGUCCAGACUCCUACGGGAGGCAGCAUG
RNAcentral lists this ribosomal RNA (241 nucleotides) under uncultured bacterium. Its description in RNAcentral is "partial 16S ribosomal RNA". It matches the Rfam family "Bacterial small subunit ribosomal RNA", at positions 113 to 353 of the family's 1533-position model. The record is from RNAcentral.